RNAcentral lists this ribosomal RNA (813 nucleotides) under Trichophyton mentagrophytes. RNAcentral describes it as "LSU rRNA". It matches the Rfam family "Eukaryotic large subunit ribosomal RNA", at positions 82 to 912 of the family's 3401-position model. Lineage: Eukaryota; Fungi; Ascomycota; Eurotiomycetes; Onygenales; Arthrodermataceae. The record is from RNAcentral.
AGUAACGGCGAGUGAAGCGGCAAGAGCUCAAAUUUGAAAUCUGGCCUCCCCCGGGGGCCCGAGUUGUAAUUUGCAGAGGAUGCUUCGGGUGCGGCCGCCGUCUAAGUUCCUUGGAACAGGACGUCAGAGAGGGUGAGAAUCCCGUCUUGGGCGGGCGGUCCGCGCCCGUGUGAAGCUCCUUCGACGAGUCGAGUUGUUUGGGAAUGCAGCUCUAAGCGGGUGGUAAAUUUCAUCUAAAGCUAAAUAUUGGCCGGAGACCGAUAGCGCACAAGUAGAGUGAUCGAAAGGUUAAAAGCACCUUGAAAAGGGAGUUAAACAGCACGUGAAAUUGUUGAAAGGGAAGCGCUUGCGGCCAGACUCGGGGGCGGGGUUCAGCGGGUGCUCGUCGCCCGUGUAUUCCUCGUUUCCCGGGCCAGCAUCAGUUUCGACGGCCGGUCAAAGGCCCCCGGAAUGUGUCGUCUCUCGGGACGUCUUAUAGCCGGGGGUGCAAUGCGGCCCGUCGGGACUGAGGAACGCGCUUCGGCUCGGAUGCUGGCGUAAUGGCCGUAAGCGGCCCGUCUUGAAACACGGACCAAGGAGUCUAACAUCCACGCGAGUGUUCGGGUGUCAAACCCGUGCGCGCAGUGAAAGCGAACGGAGGUGGGAGCCUUAGGGCGCACCAUCGACCGAUCCUGAAGUCUUCGGAUGGAUUUGAGUAGGAGCGUGGCCGUUGGGACCCGAAAGAUGGUGAACUAUGCCUGAAUAGGGUGAAGCCAGAGGAAACUCUGGUGGAGGCUCGCAGCGGUUCUGACGUGCAAAUCGAUCGUCAAAUUU